CUGGCUCAGGAUGAACGCUAGCGGCAGGCUUAACACAUGCAAGUCGAGGGGUAGAGUUCUUCGGAGCUUGAGACCGGCGCACGGGUGCGUAACGCGUAUGCAAUCUACCUUUUACAGAGGGAUAGCCCAGAGAAAUUUGGAUUAAUACCUCAUAGUAUAAUUGAAUGGCAUCAUUUGAUUAUUAAAGUCACAACGGUAAAAGAUGAGCAUGCGUCCCAUUAGCUAGUUGGUAAGGUAACGGCUUACCAAGGCUACGAUGGGUAGGGGUCCUGAGAGGGAGAUCCCCCACACUGGUACUGAGACACGGACCAGACUCCUACGGGAGGCAGCAGUGAGGAAUAUUGGACAAUGGGCGCAAGCCUGAUCCAGCCAUGCCGCGUGCAGGAUGACGGUCCUAUGGAUUGUAAACUGCUUUUGUACAGGAAGAAACACUGGUUCGUGAACCAGCUUGA
This 452-nucleotide ribosomal RNA is filed under the name Flavobacterium sp. WB3.1-61. RNAcentral's name for it is "bacterial SSU rRNA". It matches the Rfam family "Bacterial small subunit ribosomal RNA", at positions 19 to 472 of the family's 1533-position model. Lineage: Bacteria; Pseudomonadati; Bacteroidota; Flavobacteriia; Flavobacteriales; Flavobacteriaceae. The record is from RNAcentral.